This 963-nucleotide long non-coding RNA is filed under the name Callithrix jacchus (white-tufted-ear marmoset). Its description in RNAcentral is "lncRNA (ENSCJAG00000071903.1)". The record is from RNAcentral. Lineage: Eukaryota; Metazoa; Chordata; Mammalia; Primates; Cebidae.
GGCGCGGAUCCGGGGCCAAACCCUCCAGGGCUGCGCUGCAGACAGCGACGGCCAGAGGCGGAUACAGUCGGGUUUAGGGACCGCAGGAGCGAAUUCCCGGAGGCCUGCAGGAGCCGCCCCGCGCCGCGUCCAGCCUUUCUCUCUGGGCCUAGCGGGUCUCCCCCAGGCGCGCCCCUCCCUCCCCACAGGCGCACUUUCUCCACCUGCAUCUGGGGCGAGGCGCGGCUGGGAGCGAAGCACAAGUGGGCUGGGCGAGGUUUGGGGUUCGAGGAUUGCAGAGUGACCGCGGGGUCUGGGGAAGAGUUGUCUUGGUGGCGCCACCAGAGCCCGACCCGCCGCGGCCGGGACCCUGCAGGGCAGGUAGCGACCUGCGGAGAAGCCGCCUGGCGCGGCCGACUCGGCUGCCGGGGCGUGGGCCUGGGCCGGGCGCAGGAGCAGCGGGGAUGCUGGGUGCGCUCCGAGGGUGCGGCCUCCCGGCUGUGCGGGGCUCAGAGCCGGGUGCUGGGCGCGGGGCCUGGCAAAGAAAUCGUUCGACACAGCCGGAAUCCCAGGAAAAUCUACCUUUCUGGAGACUGCAGCUCCUGUGAUAGCUCAACAGACUUCAGUUCCUCACAAAUAUUGCUCUCUACGGUUUCCCCCAAAACACUUCAGGAAAUACAGUGUCCUGUCUUCACAAAUGCUUCUGCACUGAAGAAGCAGGACCUCAGGAAGAAGCUCCAUAAGCUGCCAGAAUACAAGUGGAGGCUCCUGGAGAGGACAGUGAAGCCAACACUCCUCUUGGCAGAAUGGGGUCCAGGGGUCGAUGAUUUCGGCUUCUUUCUGCCUACCAAAUCACUCGAGUCGGUUUUCACUGCCAACCACGGAGAUCGCUCCGGCAAAGCAACCAUGUCGAAACAAUCCAUUUGCUGCGUUUUGAUUAUUUACAAAGAACAAGCACCUUUUCUGUUUGGGUUUCGCUUUUAG